Molecule: ribosomal RNA, 291 nt
Filed under: uncultured Bacillota bacterium
Lineage: Bacteria; Bacillati; Bacillota
Description: uncultured Firmicutes bacterium partial 16S ribosomal RNA
Rfam family: Bacterial small subunit ribosomal RNA
Source: RNAcentral
GUGUCAGCAGCCGCGGUAAUACGUAGGGGGCGAGCGUUGUCCGGAAUUAUUGGGCGUAAAGGGUACGUAGGCGGUAAUGUAAGUCUGUAGUAAAAGGCAUCGGCUCAACCGAUGUAAGCUAUGGAAACUGUGUUACUUGAGUAAUGGAAGGGACAGUGGAAUUCCUAGUGUAGCGGUGAAAUGCGUAGAUAUUAGGAGGAAUACCAGUGGCGAAGGCGACUGUCUGGACAUAAACUGACGCUGAGGUACGAAAGCAUGGGGAGCAAACAGGAUUAGAAACCCCAGUAGUCC